AACGAACGCUGGCGGCAUGCCUAACACAUGCAAGUCGAACGAGACCUUCGGGUCUAGUGGCGCACGGGUGCGUAACGCGUGGGAACCUGCCCUUAGGUUCGGAAUAACUCCCCGAAAGGGGUGCUAAUACCGGAUAAUGUCUUCGGACCAAAGAUUUAUCGCCUUUGGAUGGGCCCGCGUUGGAUUAGCUAGUUGGUUGGGUAAAAGCCUACCAAGGCGACGAUCCAUAGCUGGUCUGAGAGGAUGAUCAGCCACACUGGGACUGAGACACGGCCCAGACUCCUACGGGAGGCAGCAGUAGGGAAUAUUGGACAAUGGGCGGAAGCCUGAUCCAGCAAUGCCGCGUGAGUGAUGAAGGCCUUAGGGUUGUAAAGCUCUUUUACCCGGGAUGAUAAUGACAGUACCGGGAGAAUAAGCCCCGGCUAACUCCGUG
Molecule: ribosomal RNA, 433 nt
Filed under: uncultured bacterium
Lineage: Bacteria
Description: partial 16S ribosomal RNA
Rfam family: Bacterial small subunit ribosomal RNA
Source: RNAcentral